CCUACGGGAGGCUGCAGUCGAGAAUCAUUCACAAUGGGGGAAACCCUGAUGGUGCGACGCCGCGUGGGGGAAUGAAGGUCUUCGGAUUGUAAACCCCUGUCAUGUGGGAGCAAAUUAAAAAGAUAGUACCACAAGAGGAAGAGACGGCUAACUCUGUGCCAGCAGCCGCGGUAAUACAGAGGUCUCAAGCGUUGUUCGGAAUCACUGGGCGUAAAGCGUGCGUAGGCUGUCUCGUAAGUCGUGUGUGAAAGCGGCGGGCUCAACCCGCGGACGGCACAUGAUACUGCGAGACUAGAGUAAUGGAGGGGGAACCGGAAUUCUCGGUGUAGCAGUGAAAUGCGUAGAUAUCGAGAGGAACACUCGUGGCGAAGGCGGGUUCCUGGACAUUAACUGACGCUGAGGCACGAAGGCCAGGGGAGCGAAAGGGAUUAGAUACCCUAGUAGUC
Molecule: ribosomal RNA, 446 nt
Filed under: uncultured bacterium
Lineage: Bacteria
Description: partial 16S ribosomal RNA
Rfam family: Bacterial small subunit ribosomal RNA
Source: RNAcentral